Molecule: ribosomal RNA, 520 nt
Filed under: uncultured Glomus
Lineage: Eukaryota; Fungi; Glomeromycota; Glomeromycetes; Glomerales; Glomeraceae
Description: SSU rRNA
Rfam family: Eukaryotic small subunit ribosomal RNA
Source: RNAcentral
AGCAGCCGCGGUAAUUCCAGCUCCAAUAGCGUAUAUUAAAGUUGUUGCAGUUAAAAAGCUCGUAGUUGAAUUUCGGGAUCAAUUAAUUGGUCGUGCCUCUGGUACGUACUGAUUUUAUUGGUUUCUCCCUUCUGAAGAACCAUGAUGUCAUUAAUUUGGUGUCGUGGAGAAUCAGGACUGUUACUUUGAAAAAAUUAGAGUGUUUAAAGCAAGCUAACGCUUGAAUACAUUAGCAUGGAAUAAUGAAAUAGGACGUUUGAUCCUAUUUUGUUGGUUUCUAGGAUCGACGUAAUGAUUAAUAGGGAUAGUUGGGGGCAUUAGUAUUCAAUUGUCAGAGGUGAAAUUCUUGGAUUUAUUGAAGACUAACUACUGCGAAAGCAUUUGCCAAGGAUGUUUUCAUUAAUCAAGAACGAAAGUUAGGGGAUCGAAGACGAUCAGAUACCGUCGUAGUCUUAACCAUAAACUAUGCCGACUAGGGAUCGGAUGAUGUUAAUUUUUUAAUGACUCAUUCGGCGCCUUA